GACGAACGCUGGCGGCGUGCCUAAUACAUGCAAGUCGAGCGGACUUUCAAGAAGCUUGCUUUUUGAAAGUUAGCGGCGGACGGGUGAGUAACACGUGGGCAACCUGCCUGCAAGACGGGGAUAACUCCGGGAAACCGGGGCUAAUACCGGAUAAUAUCUUCCUUCGCAUGAAGGAAGGUUGAAAGGCGGCGCAAGCUGCCGCUUGCAGAUGGGCCCGCGGCGCAUUAGCUAGUUGGUGAGGUAACGGCUCACCAAGGCGACGAUGCGUAGCCGACCUGAGAGGGUGAUCGGCCACACUGGGACUGAGACACGGCCCAGACUCCUACGGGAGGCAGCAGUAGGGAAUCUUCCGCAAUAGACGAAAGUCUGACGGAACAACGCCGCGUGAGCGAAGAAGGUCUUCGGAUCGUAAAGCUCUGUUGUCAGGGAAGAACAAGUACCGUUCGAACAGGGCGGUACCUUGACGGUACCUGACCAGAAAGCCACGGCUAACUACGUG
Molecule: ribosomal RNA, 499 nt
Filed under: uncultured bacterium
Lineage: Bacteria
Description: partial 16S ribosomal RNA
Rfam family: Bacterial small subunit ribosomal RNA
Source: RNAcentral